UGGCAGCACCAAGAAUAUUUCUGGAAGCACGUGAUGAGUUGUGUGAUGAAGAUAGAGCCCAUUGUGCUGUCUCUCCAGGACACGUUGUCUAUAAUGAUACAGAUGGCUUUUAUAGGGGCUUGAGAAAUAACUGGAAUUAUCCCACUUUACAGAGGAAGAAAUGGAAGCACAGAAAGAUGAAGGAACUUCCCCAUGUUCACACAGGUAUCCACAGUUCUAGCAGGGCAUGCAAUGGCACUGCUCGUUGUAGAAUCAGAUGGGAAAUAUGGAGUAGAAGACUUGAAGUUGAUCAUUUGAGAAAGAGAAGCCAUUCCUGGAAUCCAUAAAAACACUAUGUAAAAUGUUAAAUGGACUUAAUAAGAAAAACAGAAUUCAUCAUCUGUUUAAAUGGUGAGUGGUGAAUGGGUUUCCAUGUAUCAGGUUGCUUUAGGAAUCUGUUCUCACAGCACACAUAAGAUCAUGUAAAAUAUGCAGAGAGCACACAACAUUCUAUCAGAUCAUUGUUUCAUAGGGAUUCUUGAUUUUCUAGAUUCAUUCAAAGAUGGCCUCAGGCCCACAAAUCCCUUACUGCCACUGAAAGAUACAUACGUGGCGUUGAAGAGCAGAAAGCAAUGAAGUCCUUCUCC
Molecule: long non-coding RNA, 626 nt
Organism: Gorilla gorilla gorilla (western lowland gorilla)
Lineage: Eukaryota; Metazoa; Chordata; Mammalia; Primates; Hominidae
Exons: 3
Source: RefSeq, a predicted model, not a curated record